This 511-nucleotide ribosomal RNA is filed under the name uncultured bacterium. RNAcentral's name for it is "bacterial SSU rRNA". It matches the Rfam family "Bacterial small subunit ribosomal RNA", at positions 34 to 518 of the family's 1533-position model. The record is from RNAcentral.
CGCUGGCGGCGUGCCUAAUACAUGCAAGUCGAACGGUCUUUCUAUGGAAGCUUGCUUCCACUGAGAAGAUAGUGGCGAACGGGUGAGUAACACGUGGGUAACCUGCCCAUAAGAGGGGGAUAACAUCCGGAAACGGGUGCUAAUACCGCAUAGUUUUCUUGAUCGCAUGAUCGGGAAAGGAAAGACGGCCUUUGUGCUGUCGCUUAUGGAUGGACCCGCGGCGUAUUAGUUAGUUGGUGAGGUAACGGCUCACCAAGACGAUGAUACGCAGCCGACCUGAGAGGGUGAUCGGCCACAUUGGGACUGAGACACGGCCCAAACUCCUACGGGAGGCAGCAGUAGGGAAUCUUCCGCAAUGGACGAAAGUCUGACGGAGCAACGCCGCGUGAGUGAAAGAAGGUUUUCGGAUCGUAAAACUCUGUUGUCAGAGAAGAACAAGUUGGAGAGUAACUGCUCCAGCCUUGACGGUAUCUGACCAGAAAGCCACGGCUAACUACGUGCCAGCCGCCGC